GCCAGAGUGGUGAAAUGGCAUACACGCAGGAUUUAGGAUCCUGUGCCGUAAGGCGUGAGGGUUCAACUCCCUCCUCUGGCA
RNAcentral lists this transfer RNA (81 nucleotides) under Candidatus Roizmanbacteria bacterium. RNAcentral's name for it is "tRNA-Leu". It matches the Rfam family "tRNA". Rfam says of the family: Transfer RNA (tRNA) molecules are approximately 80 nucleotides in length. Their secondary structure includes four short double-helical elements and three loops (D, anti-codon, and T loops). Lineage: Bacteria; Candidatus Roizmaniibacteriota. The record is from RNAcentral.